Molecule: non-coding RNA, 176 nt
Filed under: Desulfosporosinus orientis
Lineage: Bacteria; Bacillati; Bacillota; Clostridia; Eubacteriales; Desulfitobacteriaceae
Also listed under: 1 other name
Source: RNAcentral
AAUAGAUUUUUUGUUAUAGGUGCCCAUUGAUUUGGGUGAAUAGGGAACUGGGUGAAAAUCCCGGACGGACCCACCACUGUAUGGAGGAGACCUAUGCAUAUGCCACUGGGAAACUGGGAAGGCGCAUAGUGUCGAUGAUUCUAAGUCAGGAGACCUGCCUGUAAUGUAGCAUCAUG